GAUGAACGCUGGCGGCGUGCCUAAUACAUGCAAGUCGAGCGAACAGACGAGGAGCUUGCUCCUCUGACGUUAGCGGCGGACGGGUGAGUAACACGUGGAUAACCUACCUAUAAGACUGGGAUAACUUCGGGAAACCGGAGCUAAUACCGGAUAAUAUAUUGAACCGCAUGGUUCAAUAGUGAAAGAUGGUUUUGCUGUCACUUAUAGAUGGAUCCGCGCCGCAUUAGCUAGUUGGUAAGGUAACGGCUUACCAAGGCAACGAUGCGUAGCCGACCUGAGAGGGUGAUCGGCCACACUGGAACUGAGACACGGUCCAGACUCCUACGGGAGGCAGCAGUAGGGAAUCUUCCGCAAUGGGCGAAAGCCUGACGGAGCAACGCCGCGUGAGUGAUGAAGGUCUUCGGAUCGUAAAACUCUGUUAUUAGGGAAGAACAAAUGUGUAAGUAACUAUGCACGUCUUGACGGUACCUAAUCAGAAAGCCACGGCUAACUACG
Molecule: ribosomal RNA, 495 nt
Filed under: uncultured bacterium
Lineage: Bacteria
Description: partial 16S ribosomal RNA
Rfam family: Bacterial small subunit ribosomal RNA
Source: RNAcentral